This 90-nucleotide transfer RNA is filed under the name Chryseobacterium koreense CCUG 49689. RNAcentral describes it as "tRNA-Ser". It matches the Rfam family "tRNA". Rfam says of the family: Transfer RNA (tRNA) molecules are approximately 80 nucleotides in length. Their secondary structure includes four short double-helical elements and three loops (D, anti-codon, and T loops). Lineage: Bacteria; Pseudomonadati; Bacteroidota; Flavobacteriia; Flavobacteriales; Weeksellaceae. The record is from RNAcentral.
AGAGAGGUGUCCGAGUGGUUGAAGGAGCCAGCCUGGAAAGUUGGUAUACGGGUAACUGUAUCGAGGGUUCGAAUCCCUUCCUCUCUGCAA